GGAUGCGGUCAUACCGGCACUAAAGCACCGGAUCCCUUCAGAACUCCGAAGUUAAGCGUGCUUGGGCGAGAGUAGUACUAGGAUGGGUGACCUCCUGAGAAGUCCUCGUGUUGCAUUCU
This is a non-coding RNA of Brachypodium distachyon (stiff brome), 119 nucleotides long. NCBI's taxonomy places the organism in Eukaryota, Viridiplantae, Streptophyta, Magnoliopsida, Poales, Poaceae. The record is from Rfam.